This 328-nucleotide ribosomal RNA is filed under the name uncultured eukaryote. Its description in RNAcentral is "partial 18S ribosomal RNA". It matches the Rfam family "Eukaryotic small subunit ribosomal RNA", at positions 1470 to 1796 of the family's 1831-position model. The record is from RNAcentral.
CCCUUAGAUGUCCUGGGCCGCACGCGCGUUACACUGAUGCAUUCAACGAGCUUAUAACCUUGGCCGAGAGGCCUGGGCAAUCUUGUUAACGUGCAUCGUGAUAGGGAUAGAUUAUUGAAAUUAUUAAUCUUGAACGAGGAAUUCCUAGUAAACGCAGAUCAUCAAUCUGCAUUGAUUACGUCCCUGCCCUUUGUACACACCGCCCGUCGCACCUACCGAUUGGAUGGUCCGGUGAAGCCUCGGGAUUGUGGUUCUUGCCGCUUUAUUGUAGCGUGACCGCGAGAACUUGUCUAAACCUUAUCAUCUAGAGGAAGGUGAAGUCGUAACA